AUUGAACGCUGGCGGCAGGCCUAACACAUGCAAGUCGAACGGUAGCACAGAGGAGCUUGCUCCUUGGGUGACGAGUGGCGGACGGGUGAGUAAUGUCUGGGAAACUGCCCGAUGGAGGGGGAUAACUACUGGAAACGGUAGCUAAUACCGCAUAACGUCGCAAGACCAAAGAGGGGGACCUUCGGGCCUCUUGCCAUCGGAUGUGCCCAGAUGGGAUUAGCUAGUAGGUGGGGUAACGGCUCACCUAGGCGACGAUCCCUAGCUGGUCUGAGAGGAUGACCAGCCACACUGGAACUGAGACACGGUCCAGACUCCUACGGGAGGCAGCAGUGGGGAAUAUUGCACAAUGGGCGCAAGCCUGAUGCAGCCAUGCCGCGUGUAUGAAGAAGGCCUUCGGGUUGUAAAGUACUUUCAGCGAGGAGGAAGGCGUUGUGGUUAAUAACCCGCAACGAUUGACGUUAACUCGCANGAAGAAGCACCGGCUACUCCGUGCCAG
RNAcentral lists this ribosomal RNA (496 nucleotides) under uncultured Enterobacterales bacterium. Its description in RNAcentral is "bacterial SSU rRNA". It matches the Rfam family "Bacterial small subunit ribosomal RNA", at positions 30 to 511 of the family's 1533-position model. The record is from RNAcentral. Lineage: Bacteria; Pseudomonadati; Pseudomonadota; Gammaproteobacteria; Enterobacterales.